Benincasa hispida (wax gourd) is the source of this 107-nucleotide small nucleolar RNA. NCBI's taxonomy places the organism in Eukaryota, Viridiplantae, Streptophyta, Magnoliopsida, Cucurbitales, Cucurbitaceae. The record is from RefSeq and is a predicted model, not a curated record.
AAUCCAUUAUGUGGACAGUCUCGGACCAACCUCUUAAACCUCUCCCAGGCAUCGCUAAGCAAUUCGUCCAUAUCUUGUUCAAAAUUGGUGAUUAGUUUCCUUCGUCU